Molecule: ribosomal RNA, 460 nt
Filed under: uncultured bacterium
Lineage: Bacteria
Description: partial 16S ribosomal RNA
Rfam family: Bacterial small subunit ribosomal RNA
Source: RNAcentral
CCUACGGGGAGCAGCAGUGAGGAAUAUUGGUCAAUGGACGCAAGUCUGAACCAGCCAUGCCGCGUGCAGGAAGACGGCUCUAUGAGUUGUAAACUGCUUUUGUACGAGGGUAAACGCAGAUACGCGUAUCUGUCUGAAAGUAUCGUACGAAUAAGGAUCGGCUAACUCCGUGCCAGCAGCCGCGGUAAUACGGAGGAUUCAAGCGUUAUCCAGAUUUAUUGGGUUUAAAGGGUGCGUAGGCGGUCGGAUAAGUUAGAGGUGAAAUCCCGAGGCUCAACUUCGGAAUUGCCUCUGAUACUGUUCGGCUGGAGAGUAGUUGCGAUAGGCGGAAUGUAUGGUGUAGCGGUGAAAUGCUUAGAGAUCAUACAGAACACCGAUUGCGAAGGCAGCUUACCAAGCUACGUCUGACGUUGAGGCACGAAAGCGUGGGGAGCAAACAGGAUUAGAUACCCGAGUAGUC